RNAcentral lists this ribosomal RNA (497 nucleotides) under uncultured bacterium. RNAcentral describes it as "partial 16S ribosomal RNA". It matches the Rfam family "Bacterial small subunit ribosomal RNA", at positions 28 to 507 of the family's 1533-position model. The record is from RNAcentral.
GAUGAACGCUGGCGGCGUGCCUAAUACAUGCAAGUCGAGCGAACGGACGAGAAUCUUGCUUCUCUUAUGUUAGCGGCGGACGGGUGAGUAACACGUGUAUAACCUACCUAUAAGACUGGGAUAACUUCGGGAAACCUGAUCUAAUACCGGAUGAUAUUGUGAACCGCAUGGUUCAAAAGUGAAAGACGUUCUUGCUGUCACUUAUACAUGUAUCCGCGCUGCAUUAGCUAGUUGGUAAGGUAACGGCUUACCAAGGCAACGAUGCAUAGCCGACCUGAGAGGAUGAUCAGCCACACUGGAACUGAGACACGGUCCAGACUCCUACGGGAGGCAGCAGUAGGGAAUCUUCCGCAAUGGGCGAAAGCCUGACCGAGCCACGCCGCGUGAGUGAUGAAGGUCUUCGGAUCGUAAAGCACUGUUAGUAGGGAAGAACAUAUGUGUAAGUAACUGUGCACAUCUUGACGGUACCUAAAGAGAAAGCCACGGCUAACUACGUG